AAAAUUAGGGAGGGAAAUUUGUGACGGAAAACAUAAAAUUCCUCACAAAUUCCUUGGUCGCAAAAUUUUGUGACGGAAUUAGAGAGGGAUUUCAUGUUUUCCCUCACUAAAUUUCCCUCACUAAUUU
RNAcentral lists this microRNA precursor (127 nucleotides) under Medicago truncatula (barrel medic). RNAcentral's name for it is "miR5282 stem-loop (mtr-MIR5282)". Lineage: Eukaryota; Viridiplantae; Streptophyta; Magnoliopsida; Fabales; Fabaceae. The record is from miRBase by way of RNAcentral.